AUGUCCGAUCUUAGUCCUCUUUGGUACUUCCUUGAGAUUGAGGUUUCUUGUACCUCUAAUGACUUCUUUAUUUUUGAAAAGAAGUAUGUCCAGGAUCUUCUUACUCGUGCUACUCUUGCUGAUGAGUGCACUAUUGAGACUCGAGUCAACAUCCACCUUUGUGACCACCUCCGCUCCCUACCAGUCUGGAUGGGCAUCCUUUGCCUUGCUGCGGGUUGCUACAAGCACUGUCUCAAUCCCACAUCCUGUGUUCCCUUUGUGUGUGACACCAUAACCGCACGCUCGAGCACCACCAAUGGUGAGCAGGAGCUCGGACAGUCGACGCGUACCUGGAUUAUGCACGAGACGAGCCGAGGACAGGCGCUACCUAAAGUCGAGGCCAAGGGCGCACAGUAG
RNAcentral lists this ribosomal RNA (396 nucleotides) under Triticum aestivum (bread wheat). RNAcentral describes it as "partial small subunit ribosomal RNA". The record is from RNAcentral. Lineage: Eukaryota; Viridiplantae; Streptophyta; Magnoliopsida; Poales; Poaceae.